RNAcentral lists this ribosomal RNA (460 nucleotides) under uncultured bacterium. RNAcentral's name for it is "bacterial SSU rRNA". It matches the Rfam family "Bacterial small subunit ribosomal RNA", at positions 29 to 524 of the family's 1533-position model. The record is from RNAcentral.
AACGAACGCUGGCGGCAUGCCUAACACAUGCAAGUCGAACGGGAUCCAGGCUUCGGCCUGGUGAGAGUGGCGGACGGGUGAGUAACACGUGGGAACCUGCCUUUUGGUUCGGGAUAACCGCGGGAAACUGCGGCUAAUACCGGAUGCUCCCGAGAGGGGAAAGAUUUAUCGCCAGAAGAGGGGCCCGCGUCCGAUUAGGUAGUUGGUGAGGUAAUGGCUCACCAAGCCGACGAUCGGUAGCUGGUCUGAGAGGAUGAUCAGCCACACUGGGACUGAGAUACGGCCCAGACUCCUACGGGAGGCAGCAGUGGGGGAAUAUUGGACAAUGGGGGCAACCCUGAUCCAGCAAUGCCGCGUGAGUGAUGAAGGCCUUAGGGUUGUAAAGCUCUUUUGCCAGGGAGAUGAUGACUGUACCUGGAGAAUAAGCCCCGGCUAACUUCGUGCCAGCAGCCGCGGUAAU